This 658-nucleotide long non-coding RNA is filed under the name Nicotiana benthamiana. RNAcentral describes it as "long non-coding RNA (NBEN_LNC035307)". Lineage: Eukaryota; Viridiplantae; Streptophyta; Magnoliopsida; Solanales; Solanaceae. The record is from RNAcentral.
GCAAAAAUACUAACGAAAUAAUUUCAAAAAACUGAAAGGGACUGAGACCUUAAACAUGUAUUUCCCAUAAAACUUCAUGAAAACCAAUAUAUGAAAAAUCCUACAAAAUAGUAGGGGAAAUCAUAAGAACAAGGUACAAGAAAACCCAGUUGAAGAAAACACAUAAGAAUCACAGUAGAGCAUGUAAAACCUGAGAAACCCUAAGUCGGAGAAGAUAAAAUGUUUGAAAGAAAACUUUUGAAAGAAGCUUUGGGAAAUCGUUUGUAACCUUAAAAUAAACAUAGAUCUAGAACAAAUCUAGAGUAAUCAGGAGAACCUCGAAAGGCUAGGGGUUCCCUAGAACCCUAGAAGCGAGAAAGCAUGGAAAAGUCACGAUCUAAGCCAGAGAAUAUCAGAAUCAGGCUCGAAAGACCAAAAGCCACCAGAGCAGGGCCGGAGAUGGCCGGGAUAUUCGAAUAAGUGAAGGUAUGAGUGAAUACCCUCGAGUUCUAGCCUCGAUCAUUCAAACAAAGGCCAUGCAGGAGCCAUAGGAGGCAGGUACAUGUCUUCAAUGGCUUUGGAAGCCAUGGAUUCAGGCAUUUUUGGGGGGUAACUGAAGGGAGGUGGCUAGGGAUACAUUUAGGUCUUAGAGAGAAUCAGAGAGGAGAGGGGGUUCAAG